CUCCGCCGAUUCAUUCUUUCCGGGUUUCGUGCGUAGCACGGGCGGUUUUUCUUUUUUAAGCAAAAUUCACCAUUCUAGUGGCGUUUUUUUGCUAAUUUUGUGCUAGUGAAACGGCUACAAGCUAAAUUAUAAGCGAAUACAACUUGCAUUGGGGGUGACGAAAUGAAUUUCUGCAAAAUUUCGAUAUGAUAAAUGGUCUAAUAACUUCAAUACUAGCUGAUCGAGAAAAGGCACGUGUCCUCAAGAAAAGUCAACUGUGGGCAGCUUCAGGCAGCAUGAGGUAAGGAGGCGAGAAUGGC
This is a long non-coding RNA of Dendroctonus ponderosae (mountain pine beetle), 299 nucleotides long. RefSeq lists it as uncharacterized. Lineage: Eukaryota; Metazoa; Arthropoda; Insecta; Coleoptera; Curculionidae. The transcript is spliced from 3 exons. The record is from RefSeq and is a predicted model, not a curated record.